This 830-nucleotide long non-coding RNA is filed under the name Erythranthe guttata (spotted monkey flower). RNAcentral describes it as "long non-coding RNA (EGUT_LNC000462)". Lineage: Eukaryota; Viridiplantae; Streptophyta; Magnoliopsida; Lamiales; Phrymaceae. The record is from RNAcentral.
UUUCUAAGAACAAAGAAAACAUUUUAUUGACACAACUCAAAAGCAUGAUUCAAGAAUAUACAGGGACUGAAAUUAUUGAGAUCUGAACUAAUAUCAACUCUACUGGAACACAAGAGAGAUUGAAUGAACUUGAGCCUGCAUUUUAGAGUAUAAAAACCAAUUUCGGUAAAGAGAAGAUAAGCAAGCUCAACUGAGUUCAUUCAACUCAUGUGCUCCACAGAUUGUUAGAUAUCAUAAAAUUAACAAUGCAAAUAACACGUCAGACAACCUCGAUGUGACCCUUAACUACAAGGUACCCAAAAGAAAACCACUUAAACAAUUUACAGAUUUCUCUAAUGAUUGUUAGUCUAUUGUAAUGCCAUUAGACGUUUAAAGUGGCAUUGCACAUUACUACAAACAUGAACUUUGAGCUUAUAUAUUCCAUCUAUAAAAAACAAUAUCACUCCAGGUAUCAAGAACAAUAUCACUCCAGGUAAUGCUGAGAUCAUCACAUCACAAACGUGACAGACAAUAUCACUCCAGGUAAAAAGCAGUUGAACUAUCCGUAUACCGACAGUUCGGCAAAAUACUGGUUGCAAUCAAUUUGCAAAGCAAAUAAAAUACUCAAUGCAUAAACCUUCAACAAAGUCACAAACUUGGAAUAUUAUUCUUUUAAAACUGCAACUAGCAGAAAAAUGAUAGAAAACGGUGAACAAGUUAUAAAUGAACUUAGCAACUUACACCUGCAAAAAGACUAUAAAAUAUGAACAAAAGAUAAGCAUUUUCUAAGAAACUCUAGCUUAAUUUGAACUUUCAACAACAAAAUGAACAAAGCAAACACAAAAAAAAAG